RNAcentral lists this long non-coding RNA (286 nucleotides) under Calidris pugnax (ruff). RNAcentral's name for it is "lncRNA (ENSCPUG00000011057.1)". The record is from RNAcentral. Lineage: Eukaryota; Metazoa; Chordata; Aves; Charadriiformes; Scolopacidae.
UGACAGCUGACUGGGUGGUGCACACCAGUAGGUCAGUGGCAGAGUUAGCCCUGCACCAUCAUUCACGGAAUCAUCUCAGCUGCCUGAGAGUGCACGUUUUCUGCAGCCUUCCCUCAGAAUUUCCUCUAAUUGAGAUCAGCUGAAAUAAUCUCAAUGAAGUUGUACAAUAUGGAAGAUUCCCUGCCAUGGAGGAUUUAUAUGCCUCGACUGUAAGUGACAGUAUAGUCUUGCAAGCCCAGUUGCAUGUUUAUCCAUUACCUCCCUGCCAAUGCUGCUCCUUAGAGAG